RNAcentral lists this long non-coding RNA (261 nucleotides) under Bos indicus x Bos taurus (hybrid cattle). Its description in RNAcentral is "lncRNA (ENSBIXG00005030318.1)". Lineage: Eukaryota; Metazoa; Chordata; Mammalia; Artiodactyla; Bovidae. The record is from RNAcentral.
CAGACCAGCUCUACACCUGGAAGCAAGGAAACUGCUGUUUAUAAGCAGCUCCUGUUUGCCAGGUGUUACAAUGGUAUAAUUUCAUAAUGAUCCUAAUAGUGAGGUGUGACUGUAUCAAUCCGACAGGUACAUUCCUGAGCCCUAGAGCGCAUCACAAUCUAUGCUGAAGUCACUUGGCCAGGAUUCAAUGCCAAGUCUGAGUCCAGAGAUCAGAACCCACUGCAUCUCAACAGGCUGUUUGCCAGCCAAAACCCAGCCUCU